UUCAACUGUGACGUGCGACGGAUCUCACCUGUACAACUGAAAAAUAUAUUCUGGUAAAACACCUGAUACCUUCCAUCAAAACAUGAAAAGAAAUGGAGCAUUGCAAAGAAGAUCGUCCUUUUGCUGUACUGACAAUGCAGUGUACCUCAGUUUGUUAAUUCUACCACAAAGUGAAAGUUUGAGUUAAUUCAUGCAGCCAUGAGGAAGUGUUUGAACUAUCAAACAAUAAACUCUAGAAUGGA
Long non-coding RNA from Alosa alosa (allis shad), 242 nucleotides. RefSeq lists it as uncharacterized. NCBI's taxonomy places the organism in Eukaryota, Metazoa, Chordata, Actinopteri, Clupeiformes, Clupeidae. The record is from RefSeq and is a predicted model, not a curated record. The transcript has 2 exons.